This 2493-nucleotide small RNA is filed under the name Pongo abelii (Sumatran orangutan). Its description in RNAcentral is "retained intron". The record is from RNAcentral. Lineage: Eukaryota; Metazoa; Chordata; Mammalia; Primates; Hominidae.
CUUUGCCUGCCAGAUGUACAACCUGCUGCUGUCCUACGACAGACAUGGGGACCAUCUGCAGCCCCUGGACCUUGUGCCCAAUCAUCAGGGUCUCACCCCCUUCAAGCUGGCUGGAGUGGAGGGUAACACUGUGAUGUUUCAGCACCUGAUGCAGAAGCGGAAGCACACCCAGUGGACAUAUGGACCACUGACCUCGACUCUCUAUGACCUCACGGAGAUCGACUCCUCGGGGGAUGAGCAGUCCCUGCUGGAACUUAUCAUCACCACCAAGAAGCGGGAGGUAUGGCUCAUGACAGCAGGCUGUGGCUGGGGAGGGGUGUCAGGGUCUCUGAGCCGCCUGUUCUCUUUCUGUUGCAGGCUCGCCAGAUCCUGGACCAGACGCCGGUGAAGGAGCUGGUGAGCCUCAAGUGGAAGCGGUACGGGCGGCCGUACUUCUGCAUGCUGGGUGCCAUAUAUCUGCUGUACAUCAUCUGCUUCACCAUGUGCUGCAUCUACCGCCCCCUCAAGCCCAGGACCAAUAACCGCACGAGCCCCCGGGACAACACCCUCUUACAGCAGAAGCUACUUCAGGAAGCCUACGUGACCCCUAAGGACGAUAUCCGGCUGGUGGGGGAGCUGGUGACUGUCAUUGGGGCUAUCAUCAUCCUGCUGGUAGAGAUUCCAGACAUCUUCAGAAUGGGGAUCACUCGCUUCUUUGGACAGACCAUCCUUGGGGGCCCAUUCCAUGUCCUCAUCAUCACCUAUGCCUUCAUGGUGCUGGUGACCAUGGUGAUGCGGCUCAUCAGUGCCAGCGGGGAGGUGGUACCCAUGUCCUUUGCACUCGUGCUGGGCUGGUGCAACGUCAUGUACUUCGCCCGAGGAUUCCAGAUGCUAGGUCCCUUCACCAUCAUGAUUCAGAAGAUGAUUUUUGGCGACCUGAUGCGAUUCUGCUGGCUGAUGGCUGUGGUCAUCCUGGGCUUUGCUUCAGGUAAUCAUCUGUCCAGGACCAGGGGCCAUGGCAGGGAGGAGAUGAGAAAAUCUAGGGGGCACUGGCUCUGGCUAAACUUGGGGAGGAGGAGUAAUGCAGAGAUCAGAGGAGACCUAUGGUAUCAGAGGAUGGGACGUCCUCCAGAGGUGAGAAAAAUCGGGAGUGUUAGGGAGAGGUGGCUCUUAGGAUCAAGAAGAUGAGGCUCAUAGAAAACUAGGGACCGUAAAAACCCAAAGUUUGGAGCAUUGCAGAGCUGGUGAUAUUGAGAUGAAGGGAUCAGGAUGGACAUGCACGCAGAGCCCGGGGUGGGCUGGUCGUCUGCAUGGUUGCUAUGGUAACCCUCACCCCCUUGGGUGGAGCAGCCUUCUAUAUCAUCUUCCAGACAGAGGACCCUGAGGAGCUAGGCCACUUCUACGACUACCCCAUGGCCCUGUUCAGCACCUUUGAGCUGUUCCUUACCAUCAUCGAUGGCCCAGCCAACUACAACGUAGACCUGCCCUUCAUGUACAGCAUCACCUAUGCUGCCUUUGCCAUCAUCGCCACACUGCUCAUGCUCAACCUCCUUAUUGCCAUGAUGGGCGACACUCACUGGCGAGUGGCACACGAGCGGGAUGAGCUGUGGAGGGCCCAGAUUGUGGCCACCACAGUGAUGCUGGAGCGGAAGCUGCCUCGCUGCCUGUGGCCUCGCUCUGGGAUCUGCGGACGGGAGUAUGGCCUGGGGGACCGCUGGUUCCUGCGGGUGGAAGACAGGCAAGAUCUCAACCGGCAGCGGAUCCAACGCUACGCACAGGCCUUCCACACCCGGGGCUCUGAGGAUUUGGACAAAGACUCGGUGGAAAAAUUAGAGCUGGGCUGUCCCUUCAGCCCCCACCUGUCCCUUCCUACGCCCUCAUUGUCUCGAAAUACCUCCCGCAGCAGUGCCAAUUGGGAAAGGCUUCGGCAAGGGACCCUAAGGAGAGACCUGCGUGGGAUAAUCAACAGGGGUCUGGAGGACGGGGAGAGCUGGGAAUACCAGAUCUGAUUGCGUGCUCUCGUUUUGCUUCCCGGAACUUGCUCUCAUUUUCCUGGGAGCAUCAAACAAAACAAAAACCAAACACCCAGAGGUCUCAUCUGCCAGGCCCCAGGGGAGAAAGAGGAGUAGCAUGAACUCCAAGGAAUGUACGUCGAGAAUCACUGCUCCAGGCCUGCGUUACUCCUUCAGCUCUGGGGCUUCGACGAAGCCCAGCCCAAGCAUGGGGCUGGCAGGGCGUGAGGAGCUCUCCUGCGGCCUGCUCAUCACCCCUUCCGACAGGAGCACUGCACAUCAGAGCACUUUAAAAACAGGCCAGCCUACUCGGGCGCUCGGUCUCCACCCCAGGGUCAUAAGUGGGGAGACAGAAGGCCCUUCCCAGGGCACCCAGGCAGGUGCAGGGAAGUGCAGAGCUUGUGGAAAGCGUGUGAGUGAGGGAGACAGGAACGGCUCCGGGGGUGGGAAGUGGGGCUAGGUCUUGCCAACUCCAUCUUCAAUAAAGUCGUUUUCGGAUCCC